Molecule: transfer RNA, 61 nt
Filed under: Hyalella cajasi
Lineage: Eukaryota; Metazoa; Arthropoda; Malacostraca; Amphipoda; Hyalellidae
Description: tRNA-Phe
Source: RNAcentral
AUUUAUAUAGCUUAUACAGAGCGCUAUACUGAAGAUAUAAACGAGACUAUGUCUAUAAAUA